CCUACGGGAGGCAGCAGUGGGGAAUUUUGGACAAUGGGCGCAAGCCUGAUCCAGCCAUGCCGCGUGUGGGAAGAAGGCCUUCGGGUUGUAAACCACUUUUGUCAGGGAAGAAACGGCUUUUUCUAAUACAGAGAGCUAAUGACGGUACCUGAAGAAUAAGCACCGGCUAACUACGUGCCAGCAGCCGCGGUAAUACGUAGGGUGCAAGCGUUAAUCGGAAUUACUGGGCGUAAAGCGUGCGCAGGCGGCUUUGCAAGACAGAUGUGAAAUCCCCGGGCUCAACCUGGGAACUGCAUUUGUGACUGCAUGGCUAGAGUACGGUAGAGGGGGAUGGAAUUCCGCGUGUAGCAGUGAAAUGCGUAGAUAUGCGGAGGAACACCGAUGGCGAAGGCAAUCCCCUGGACCUGUACUGACGCUCAUGCACGAAAGCGUGGGGAGCAAACAGGAUUAGAUACCCUGGUAGUCCACGCCCUAAACGAUGUCAACUGGUUGUUGGACGGCUUGCUGUUCAGUAACGAAGCUAACGCGUGAAGUUGACCGCCGNGGGAGGACGGCCGCGAGGUUAGUAACGUUAAAGUAGUAGUAGACGGCGUAGAGACGACGACGACGGACGACGACGGAGGGAGGAGG
Molecule: ribosomal RNA, 630 nt
Filed under: uncultured bacterium
Lineage: Bacteria
Description: bacterial SSU rRNA
Rfam family: Bacterial small subunit ribosomal RNA (bases 1-542)
Source: RNAcentral